RNAcentral lists this ribosomal RNA (443 nucleotides) under Vallitalea guaymasensis. RNAcentral's name for it is "bacterial SSU rRNA". It matches the Rfam family "Bacterial small subunit ribosomal RNA", at positions 337 to 796 of the family's 1533-position model. The record is from RNAcentral. Lineage: Bacteria; Bacillati; Bacillota; Clostridia; Lachnospirales; Vallitaleaceae.
UCCUACGGGAGGCAGCAGUGGGGAAUAUUGCACAAUGGGGGAAACCCUGAUGCAGCGAUGCCGCGUGAAGGAAGAAGAUUUUCGGAUUGUAAACUUCUAUCAGCAAGGAAGAAAACGGACAGUACUUGAGUAAGAAGCCCCGGCUAACUACGUGCCAGCAGCCGCGGUAAUACGUAGGGGGCAAGCGUUAUCCGGAAUUACUGGGUGUAAAGGGUGCGUAGGCGGUACGGCAAGUUUGAUGUGAAACCCAUGGGCUUAACCCAUGGCAUGCAUCGAAAACUACUGAACUAGAGUGCAGGAGAGGAAAGCGGAAUUCCUAGUGUAGCGGUGAAAUGCGUAGAUAUUAGGAAGAACACCAGUGGCGAAGGCGGCUUUCUGGACUGCAACUGACGCUGAGGCACGAAAGCGUGGGGAGCAAACAGGAUUAGAUACCCUGGUAGUCC